AGAAUCAACGCUGGCGGCGCGCCUAACACAUGCAAGUCGAACGAGAAAGUGGAGCAAUCCAUGAGUACAGUGGCGUACGGGUGAGUAACACGUGGAUAAUCUACCUCUUAGUGGGGAAAUACCGCUGGGAAACCGGCGACAAUACCGCAUAAGCUCGAGAGAGGAAAGCAGCAAUGCGCUGAGAGAGGAGUCCGCGGCCGAUUAGCUAGUUGGUAGGGUAAUGGCCUACCAAGGCAACGAUCGGUA
RNAcentral lists this ribosomal RNA (246 nucleotides) under uncultured bacterium. RNAcentral describes it as "partial small subunit ribosomal RNA". It matches the Rfam family "Bacterial small subunit ribosomal RNA", at positions 26 to 285 of the family's 1533-position model. The record is from RNAcentral.